Molecule: RNA transcript, 619 nt
Organism: Frieseomelitta varia
Lineage: Eukaryota; Metazoa; Arthropoda; Insecta; Hymenoptera; Apidae
Gene name: 40S ribosomal protein S28-like
Exons: 2
Source: RefSeq, a predicted model, not a curated record
AUUGUGUAAUUAAGUUGGUAGGACGGUGAGUGUAGUUUAUGGAAUUCAUUGCAAAAGUAUCGCAAUUGUGCAAUAAAGCAUUGGAAUUUCAAAAAACUUGUCAACUAUAAAGCAUGGAGAAACCUAUAGUUCGUGCAAGGGUAGUAAAGGUCCUCGGUAGAACGGGUUCCCAAGGACAAUGUACACAAGUUAAAGUGGAGUUUUUGAACGAACAAAAUAGGCAGUUAAUCCGAAACGUGAAGGGUCCCGUACGAGAAGGAGACAUUCUAACGCUUUUAGAAUCUGAAAGAGAAGCUAGACGGCUUCGUUAAUGUAUUUGACGAUUGAAGUUCCUUCUCGAAAAUUAAACAAAAGACCUUCAGUUAUUAAAGUCAUAUCGCAAAAAGUAAACUGUAAUAAACUAAAUAUUCAUUUUUCAGGUAUUCUGAACAGAAGCUUAUUGAUAUAUUUGUCAUAAAACUGUAUCUAUAAAACUAUAUACCAUCGAGUAUUUUUUUCUAUAUUUCAACACAAAACUAUUCAUGCAUAUUCAUGCAUUAUUCAUUCAUUUAUGAAAACGAUAUGUAAGUAUUAUUACUGUAUGAGUGUAACCGAAACAUUAAAAAAAUUAAAAAAAUAA